UGGGGAAUAUUGCACAAUGGGGGAAACCCUGAUGCAGCGACGCCGCGUGAGUGAAGAAGUAUUUCGGUAUGUAAAGCUCUAUCAGCAGGGAAGAAAAAAGACGGUACCUGACUAAGAAGCCCCGGCUAACUACGUGCCAGCAGCCGCGGUAAUACGUAGGGGGCAAGCGUUAUCCGGAUUUACUGGGUGUAAAGGGAGCGUAGACGGCGCGGCAAGUCUGAAGUGAAAGGCAGGGGCUUAACCCCUGAACUGCUUUGGAAACUGCCAUGCUAGAGUGCUGGAGAGGUAAGUGGAAUUCCUAGUGUAGCGGUGAAAUGCGUAGAUAUUAGGAGGAACACCAGUGGCGAAGGCGGCUUACUGGACAGUAACUGACGUUGAGGCUCGAAAGCGUGGGGAGCAAACA
RNAcentral lists this ribosomal RNA (403 nucleotides) under uncultured Lachnospiraceae bacterium. RNAcentral's name for it is "bacterial SSU rRNA". It matches the Rfam family "Bacterial small subunit ribosomal RNA", at positions 355 to 774 of the family's 1533-position model. The record is from RNAcentral. Lineage: Bacteria; Bacillati; Bacillota; Clostridia; Lachnospirales; Lachnospiraceae.